Loxodonta africana (African savanna elephant) is the source of this 26773-nucleotide long non-coding RNA. RefSeq lists it as uncharacterized. The transcript has 8 exons. Lineage: Eukaryota; Metazoa; Chordata; Mammalia; Proboscidea; Elephantidae. The record is from RefSeq and is a predicted model, not a curated record.
CUUGUUUUAGGAUCAGAAAAAACAGUGUAGUCACUUCCAAUAAAAACUUUCAUUGAUAUCUGCAAGUAAUCAGUUAUAUCUCUAAAGUAUUAAUGGAUGUAAUUUUAAAAAUGUAUGUCAUCCAAAUGAUUGUACAUUGCUAGAUUGUCUUACUUGUGUGCAUUUUAUUCCCUUUGGUACUGGCCAUACAUGUAAUAUGUGGUGUAUGCGUUUUAUUAAGUAAAUAGAGCAAAGCUUAGGAUCCUGGGUUUUCUGUACUAGGAGAAUGACAUCUAAGCCUGAAAUGGGAUAUAUGUGUGUUAGAACUUUUUCAGUCUCACUUGAUGUCCUUUUGCCAACUUAGGUGAUGACUUUGAAGGAAAGAGAGAAUUCGAGUACUGAAUUUGCUGACCUAUCAUCAGCAAGGUUCCUACCCAGUAGUGUCCCACAUAAGGCUGAAAAUCAUAUUAACUGCAUUUAGGACAGAAACAUAAAUCACAGGUAAAGUAACCUUGUAAUAAAAAUAAAGUAUAUUGCAGAGGCCUUGGCUAGGUUCAUGAUGAUAAUGGACCUUAUCUGAAUGUAAUGAUUUCAAACUUUGAGCUUAAAAUGACUUUCUGAAACCCAGUCAGUGUGCCUCACUAGACUUUUCAGAGCAUGUAAUUUGCAGCAAAAUAUAUUGACAUGUGAAUAUUUUGAAUAGUUAAAAAUGGCAGGUGCAGUAUUGCACUUUGCUGGUUCCUCAAAUAUCCUUUUUUAUUUUUAUAAAUAUUCUAGCUUAAUAUAUGUUUUUCUUUUUUUUCCUGAACUUUAUAUGUUGUUCAAAGCAAAAUAGAAACCCUUCUUUGGAUCCCAGAAAACACACACAUAUGAAGUGGAAACACGGACAUGUCCUUUGCUAAAAUGUCACUACCACCUCUUGAUCAAAAAUUGAGUGCCAGAGCUGUACAGGAAGGAAGGAAACUAAUAAUUGUGGAACAUAUGGAAUGCAAUGAGUAUGUUUGAAUGAGCUGUUGCACAUACAUUGUUCGGGGACUUGCCAUGAGUGGAGAUGUACUGUCUGCAGGUAAGAGUCGUUUUCAGAGCUGUACCAGUUAUUGGUAAAGACCUUGGCUGGACUUAUGAUGAGAUAUGCUGACUAUGAGCAUGAUGAAGUGAAGCUCAAUAUGAUUUCUCUGAAUUCCAGCCUAAGUGUCAAUCCACAGACUCAGGAUACAAAUUUUCUGAUAGUUAAUGAGUUGUGAAUUUUAUAAGGGUUUUUCUGUUGAAAAAUUCCUAGGGGGAAUGAAGAAGUUGCAUGUCUUUCAGGUUGGCUCUAGAUCUCCCAGUACAUUUUCCUUGUGUAGGCUAUUUUCUGUGUUUGUAGCAUUGGUAUAUCUCACCUUUGUCUUCUUUUACACUGUGCAUUUCAAGUGAAAACUUUAAGAGACUAAGGACUCUAGCAUCACUCAGUUUCAGCCUCUUACCAAACUUUCCUAAGGGCAAGUCCCCAACCUCUGUGAGGCGUUUACCACGUGAAUAAGAAGUAGCCAGUUUGUUGGUGGAGACAUUUCUUUGAUCUAAGAUGAGACAUUAGUAAAUUAUUAAUUUUUAUUUGGUUUUCUGUAUCAUGAAAAGACAUGGAUGGCAAGUUAGAAGUUUUGACUCUUUGUGAUUUAUUUAAAUGCAUGAAAUUGGCUUUUUUACAGUUGUUGAUGCUGAGCCCGAAAGAGAUGAAAUGAUUCACUUAAUGCCAUACAUUUCUUCAGUGAUGACAUUGGUAACUGAAAUCACGUUAUAAUCUCACAUUCUUGAAUAUUUCUCUGUGUUUGUGUGAGUAGUAGGUGGUAACUGUAUUAUCUAAGUUAUCUUUUAUUGGCAUUCUAUUAGGUGGUUGUGCUUUGCUUAUAGUAGCUGUUAUGAAGGAGAAGUAGCUUAGGAAAACUCAUAUUAAAAAGGUUCAUUGCACAUUUUAAUACACUAACAUAUCCACCUGUCUUAGUUACCUAGCGCUGCUGUGAUAGAAAUAGUACAAAUGGAUGCCUUAACAAACAAAUUUAUUUUCUCACAGUUUAAAAACCCAGUACCCGGUGCCGUCGAGUCGAUUCCAACUCAUAGCGACCCUAUAGGACAGAGUAGAACUGCCCCAUAGAGUCUCAUAGUUUAGGAGGCUAGAAAUCCAAAUUCAGGGCACCGGCCGCAGGGGAAGGCUUUCUUUCUCUCAGCUCUGGGGCAAGGUUGUUGUUCCUUCAGCUUGUUUGCUGGUUCCUUGGAGAUCUCUGUGUGGCUUGGAUUUAUAGUCCCCCUAUCGCUUGUUUGUUUAAUCUCUUAAAACUCAAAAUGGAUUGACUGCAGACACACCCUACACUUAUCCUGCCUCAUUAACAUAACAAAGACAACCCAUUCCCAAAUGGAAUUAUAACCACAGGCAUUACCCAUUGCCUUCCAGUGGAUUCUGACUCCCAGUGACCCUAUAGGACAGGGUAGAACUGCCCCAUAGGGUUUCCAUGGAGUGGCUGGUGGAUUUGAACUGCCGACCUUUUGGUUAUUAGCUGAUCUCUUAACCACUGUGCCAGCAGGGCUCCAACCACAGGCAUUGAGGUGUAGCCUUAAUGUGGGAUUAUUUGACCUUGGAUGUUUGAUGAAACCUGGAGUGGUCAGUCAUUUAUGGGUGAAGAGAAACAGUGGUAGUUUCUGACACAGCCCCAUUUUAUUAACCCAAAUUCAUUUUUACAUGUGGUCUAAAGAAAAUGUCCUGUGAACAGAAAUCCCUGGAAGGAGAUUAAGUCUUUGUUUGGUUGGCUUGAUGAUAAGUCAGUUAUGGACCUGACUUUAGUUUUCAUUCUUGCUAAAAGAAUCUGAGAUCCAGUCAAGCUAAUUUAUGAGGAGAGUAGUUUGAAGAGUAAUGGAAGGAAUGAGUUAGCAAUAGAUGGAGGAUGAAAAGAAGGAAAGAAGGAAAGCAACCAGUUUAAGGUGAUUGGAGCAUGACCUUGCAUUGCUCACGUGUGGAGUGAGGAGUGUAAAUUAUUCCAAUUGUUAGCAACAAGAAAAAUCUCACUAACAGUAGGUUUGAAUAUUAGAACAAUGAGGGGAGAUUAGAAGUCAUAAUUGCCAUGUACAUGUCAAAUUUGCGUGUUUCCUCGGUUUGAGUCUCAGCCACUUAUUCCAUAUUUGUUUGAGGUAAUUUUGUAGACAAGAUUAUGUCUUUGGUUGAGAUUAUUGUAAUUAUCAAAGUAGACUACUCAAAUGGCUGUUACUGCUGCCUUUGCUGGGAUGGGUAAAUGAUUGCACACUUCCAGGCAGCUUUGGUUAAAUCAGUGGCUCUCAAACGUUAGUGAGCACCAGAAUCACCUAGAGGAAUUGUCCUACCCUCAGGUUCUAACUCCUUAGGCUUAAUUCUGAGAACUUGCUUUUGAACAAGCUCCCAGAUGCUGCUGGCCCAGGUGCUCCACUUAGAGAGCAACUAGAUUAUAUUUAGGAGGAUACAUUCGUUUUCAGAAAAGUGCUAUUUUAUGACUUAUAUACAGAUUUGGAGAACAUAAUGAAAUAGCUUAUAGCAUGUUUAUAAAUGUGAAAAUGAGCAGCAAAUUUUGAAAGGAAUUUAUCUUUUGUAAUAUUAAAAAUCUAAAUGAAAAAUAGUAUAUUUAUAUUUUUAUUGCAAUAUUACAUAAACUAAGAAUGACUAAUAGCAGCCAUUAGGGUUAAAUAGGGAAGAAACAUGCACAUAAUUUCUUUGGGAAUAUCAAUUCAUAUAUCAUUUGUGAAGAAGAGAUUGCCAAUAUACAUUUAAAGUAUGUACUUCAUUUGAGGAAAGAAACUCUUUUUUUAAAUAUAUAUGGUGAAAGUAUACACAGAAAGAUACACCAUUUCAACAAUUCCUACAUGUACAGUUCAGUGACAUUGUUUGCAUUCAAGUUGUGCUGCCAGUCUUGCUAUCCUUUUCCACAUUAUUGUACCACUAUUAUCCUAUACUCAUUGCCUCCUAAGCUUCCUAUCCAACGAAUCAAGUUGAUGUUAGUUUGAUGUCACAUACAUAAUUCUUUAAAAGAGCACAAUUCUCAAAACAAAUGUACAUUUCUGAAUAAAAUAAGGUAUUUUUUGGUUCAGUGAAGACUGAGUUUUGGUUUAAGGUUUAAAGCUGAAAGAUUAUCUAGGUCAGUAGUUUGAGGGGGCUCAUUCUACAUCAGUGGCUCCAGAAAGUCUGGAUUCCACUGAGAAUUUGAAACUUUCUACAUUUUUCCCCAUUUUUAUUUAUAGAAUCUUUGAUCAAGACAUCAGCAAUGGUAGUUGGGCGCUAGUUUUUUUUUUUUUUUUGAUCUCAUGGCAUAGAAGGCAGUUGUUCAUGGAGACACACAGAUAUGGACUUGAUUUUCCUUCAAUUUCUGACCCUUCUUCUUCCUGUGUUUGUUGCUUCAGGUAAAUGGAGACCAAUUGUUGCACCUUGGGUGGCUGCUUGUUAGCUUUUGGGACUCCAGUCACUACUCAACAAACUAGGCGGUAGAACAGAAGCACUGAGAAAUAGUAUACUAAGCUAAUUGGGAUGUCCCUCAAAACCAUGACCCUAAACCUCCAAACUAAGAAAACAAAUCCCAUGAGUUGUUUGGUUGUGCAUAAAGAGAUUAAACAGCUGUUCCUGCUCAUUUUUGUUAAGAAUAUGUAUAGCACAAUAUUUGCCAGUUCAACAUUUUUCAGGUUUAUAGCUUAGUGAUGUCAAUUACAUUAAUCAGGUGUAUAACCUUGAUUGAUGCUGAAUUUCCCAUCACCAUGAAUAGGAACACACUGCUUCCCAAACAGUAGCUCCCUUUCUCCCCCUUCUUCUUACCCUGGUAACCACUAAUAAACUUUGGUCUCUAUGUAUUUGUCUCUUCUUGUCAUUUUGUUAGUGAGGUCAGACUGUAUAUGUCCUUUUGUGGUUGACUGAUUUCACUCAUAAUAUCUUCAAGGUUAUUCAUGUUGUAGCAUGUACUAGGGCUUCGUUUCUCUUUCUGGUUCAGUAGAAUUCCAUUGUAUGUACGUACCACUUUUGCUUUUCUGUUCGUCCGUUGAUGGACAUUUCGGUUGUUGCACCUUUUGGCUAUAGCAAAUAGUGCUGCAAUGAACAUCAACGUGCAGGUUUCUGUUCGUAUUGUUGUCCUUAAGUCUCUUGGGUAUAUACCUAGGAGUGAGGUUGCUGAAUCAUAUGGUAGUUCUAUUUUGAGUUUUUUGAGGAACCUACACAUUGUUUUCCACAAUAGUUGUAUCAUUGUGCAUUUCCACCAUCAGUGGGUAAGGGUUCCAGUUUCCGGGCCUUCUUCUAACAUUCGUUAUUUUUCUAAAACAUUUUUUUGAUAAUGUAUGAAAAUGUUCUGUUUUUUGAUAAUGGAUUAACUACACUAAUUUGGAAACCCGGGUGGCGUAGUAGUUAAGAGCUACAGCUGCUAACCAAAAAGUUGGCAGUUCAAGUCCACCAGGUGCUCCUUGGAAACUCCAAGGGGCAGUUCUACUCUGUCCUUUAGGGUCGCUAUGAGUCGUAAUCAACUCAAUGGCAAUGAGUGUAUUUUUUGUUUGUUUUUUACUCUAAUAUUUACUAUAGAAGGUCACUUUGGGGAAAAAAAAAAAGACCAGUAAAUAAAAAUUUCUGGAGAACAGUAGGUGUUUGUUUGGGAAAGCCAUUUAAGAGUAUAUGUGUUCUCAAUUGGCAGAUUUCCUAGACAUGGUGAUAAUUGCCUGAUACUUACCAUCUUAGGAAGGUUUAUCUGGUUUGUGUUUAAAGUUACGUUUUGAAUUCCAUGUAAGUUGCGUUACUUUUUAAGGAGGCAUAUGAUCUAAAUUCAUUUUAAUCAUCUACUUGUUGAUCGUUUUUAGUGGUCUGUAAAAUGGCACUACUAAUGGAUUUCUUGGUAUUGGGUAUGGGAAGUAUCCAAUUCCUUGGGAAGUUUUAACAUAUACAGUAAAACCUAUGAGAGCUGGAACUCAACAGGCCUGCCUUGUAUUUUCAGGUCUUGCAAGGUUUCCAUCUUUGAUAGCAUGCAGCCUUACCACUUUUAUAUCCUUAUCUGUUAGUGGAAAAUAUUUGAGUUUCCUUCUCUGACAGGUUUCUGCCUUACACAGGUUUCAGCUUUUGCAGGUUUUACUGUAUAGUACAGCUUUGUUAUACAUGCUCUGUUGGAUGUGUUUAGCUCUGGAAAAUUAGUUCUGUUUCUAACUGUGUUACUCUGUGUGGCUAGUGUUAUAAUGAAUUGUCAUCCACUUUUUCUUAGCAACUUUGUAAAGUUAGUCACUUUAGGUACGAUUCCUCUAAGUUGGGAAGUGCUGAAGAACAUAUAUCCUGGUCUAGUGACAGUUCCUUCCUGUGCUAGAGCAGCUGAAGAAGGGAAUGAGACUUCCAACAAGAAGACUUCUUUACUUUGGAUUGGACCGAUUGGAAUAAGAAGAGAUCACAGAGAGUUAAAAAAAAUGUGGGUUAGAGUUUGUCUGAGAAUAAGUUUAGUAUAAUGAAAUCGAGUUUCUUAUUUUUGCAGUGUGAUAGCAAAUUUUGGAUACUGUACGGUUUACGGUCAAUAUCUAUUACAUAAUGUAUAUCAUGUAUAAUCCUCUCUAGUGAACUUGGCUGAACCGAUGUUGAGUCAACAAAAGAAAUACCCUAUCCCUGAGAAAUUGUUUCUGGGGGUCAUAAAGAUGAAACUUUCAUAAAAGCCUCGAUUUAUUGAAUAGUGCUUCUUGUUUGCUUAAGGUGAUUACACUGCUAGAUUUUGAAAAAUGGUUCGAAGAAGCUACAGGUUAGCUUUUUCAGAAAUUCUUCCUUUAUGUGAAAAAAGAUAUAUUGACGAUUCACCAGAGCCUUGAUGUCCUUGUUGCUGCUCAGACUCCAAGGCCUAGUAUCAUAAUUGGCACCUAGUAGGUACUUGAUGGAUAGUCAGUAUUUGUUCUAUUGGUAUAUCAUUGCAUAUUGUCACAUAUACCAAUAUCACAUAAUAUUGGUAUAUUAGUAGAAUCAAUUCAUGAAAGAACAAAAGGUGCAAGUAGAGGCAAAGUUUGGUGCUCACACCUUCUUUGGGAGGGUUUGGGACAAGAACAAGGACAUUUUAUUGUGCCACAUUGCUGGGAGCAGGGGAUUGGGGAAAUUGUAUUUCCUUGAACUCAGCUCUCCUAUUUCAUCAAUUAGAUAUUUCCAGGAGAGCACUGUAUUUCAGGAUAGGGCUUUAUGAGAAAUAGAGAAGGGUGGCCAUUGAGGUUAUUUUCUUUUAUAGAAUGCCUCUACCAGGUUCAGCCCAGCUCAUUGCAGAAUAAAUCUUCUACAUAACAGCAAUAACAAAAAACAAAACAAUGUGUUUACUGGAACUUGUCUGUUGUGAAAUCAUUUAUAAAUAGAUGGUAUUUCUUUUCCUGAGGAGAGGACUUAAUUGUUAAUGUACAGCAGAGCACUUUACUACAUAAAAAUGUUAAAAUGCAUGUAUUAUGGAUUGAAUUGUGUCCCCCCAAAAUGUAUGUCAACUUCGGUAUGCCAUGAUUUCCAGUAUUGUGUGGUUUUCCUCCAUUUUGUGAUCUGAUGUAAUUUUCCUAUGUGUUGUAAAUCCUGAUCUCUGCUGUGGUUAAUGAGACAAGAUUAAAAUGUAUGUCAACUUGGGUAUGCCAUGAUUUCCAGUAUUGUGUGGUUUUCCUCCAUUUUGUGAUCUGAUGUAAUUUUCCUAUGUGUUGUAAAUCCUAAUCUCUGCUGUGGUUAAUGAGACAAGAUUAGGUUAUGUUAAAUAUCAUCAAUUAGAUAUUUCCAAGCAAGCACCAUAUUUCAGGAUAGGGCUUUAUGAGAAAUAGAGAAGGGUGGCCAUUGAGGUUAUUUUCUUUUAUAGAAUGCCUCUACCAGGUUCAGCCCAGCUCAUUGCAGAAUAAAUCUUCUACAUAACAGCAAUAACAAAAAACAAAGCAAUGUGUUUACUGGAACUUGUCUGUUGUGAAAUCAUUUAUAAAUAGAUGGUAUUGCUUUUCCUGAGGAGAGGACUUAAUUUUUAAUGUAUAACAGCACUUUACUACAUAAAAAUGUUAAAAUGCCUGUAUUAUGGAUUGAAUUGUGUCCCCCAAAAUGUAUGUCAACUUAGGUAUGCCAUGAUUUCCAGUAUUGUGUGGUUUUCCUCCAUUUUGUGAUCUGAUGUAAUUUUCCUAUGUGUUGUAAAUCCUGAUCUCUGCUGUGGUUAAUGAGACAAGAUUAAAAAAAAAUAUGUAUUUCCAAGAGAGCACCAUAUUUCAGGAUAGGGCUUUAUGAGAAAUAGAGAAGGGUGGCCAUUGAGGUUAUUUUCUUUUAUAGAAUGCCUCUACCAGGUUCAGCCCAGCUCAUUGCAGAAUAAAUCUUCUACAUAACAGCAAUAACAAAAAACAAAGCAAUGUGUUUACUGGAACUUGUCUGUUGUGAAAUCAUUUAUAAAUAGAUGGUAUUGCUUUUCCUGAGGAGAGGACUUAAUUUUUAAUGUAUAACAGCACUUUACUACAUAAAAAUGUUAAAAUGCCUGUAUUAUGGAUUGAAUUGUGUCCCCCAAAAUGUAUGUCAACUUAGGUAUGCCAUGAUUUCCAGUAUUGUGUGGUUUUCCUCCAUUUUGUGAUCUGAUGUAAUUUUCCUAUGUGUUGUAAAUCCUGAUCUCUGCUGUGGUUAAUGAGACAAGAUUAAAAAAAAAUAUGUAUUUCCAAGAGAGCACCAUAUUUCAGGAUAGGGCUUUAUGAGAAAUAGAGAAGGGUGGCCAUUGAGGUUAUUUUCUUUUAUAGAAUGCCUCUACCAGGUUCAGCCCAGCUCAUUGCAGAAUAAAUCUUCUACAUAACAGCAAUAACAAAAAACAAAGCAAUGUGUUUACUGGAACUUGUCUGUUGUGAAAUCAUUUAUAAAUAGAUGGUAUUGCUUUUCCUGAGGAGAGGACUUAAUUUUUAAUGUAUAACAGCACUUUACUACAUAAAAAUGUUAAAAUGCAUGUAUUAUGGAUUGAAUUGUGUCCCCCCAAAAUGUAUGUCAACUUAGGUAUGCCAUGAUUUCCAGUAUUGUGUGAUUUUCCUCCGUUUUGUGAUCUGAUGUAAUUUUCCUAUGUGUUGUAAAUCCUAAUCUCUGCUAUGGUUAAUGAGACAAGAUUAGGUUGUGUUAAAGGGGAUUAGGGUGGGAUGCAACACCCUUACUCAAGUCACAGCCCUGAUCCAGUACAAGGGGAGUUUUCCUGGGGUGUGGCCUGCAUCACCUUUUGUCUUACAAGAGAUAAAAGGAGAGAGAAGCAAGCAGAAGAUAGGGACCUCAUACUACCAAGAAAGAAGCACCAAGAGUGGAGCCUGUCCUCUGGACCUGAAGUCCCUGUGCUAAGAAGCUCGUAGACCAUGGGAAGAUUGAUGACAAGGAUCUAUCCCCAGAACCAAGUGAGAGAGAAUGCCUUCCCUGGGAACUGGCACCCUGAAAAUUCAGACUGCUAGCCUCCUAAACUGUGAGAGAGUAAACUGUUUGUUAAAGCCAUCCACUAGUGAUAUUUCUAUUGUAGAAGCACUAGAUAACUAAGACGGCAUGUAUCAUAUUUUUGGCUUCUAAUAUAUUGUCAGUGAAUGUAUCAGUAUACAAAUAUUGAAGUUGUAAAGCAUUUCAUUUAUUGGAUCCACAGUCAACGCCCAUGGAAGCAGCAGUCAAGAAAUCAAAUGACGCAUUGCAUUGGGAAAAUAUACUCCAAAAGACCUCUUGAAAGUAUUGAAAAGGAAAGAUGUCACUUUAAGGACUAAGGUACAGUGGACCCAAGCCAUGGUGUUUUCAGUCACCUCAUAUGCAUAUGAAAGCUGGACAGUGAAUAAGGAAGACUGAAGAAGAAAUGAUGCUUUUGAAUUAUGGUGUUGGUGAAGAAUGUUGAAUAUACCAUAGACUGCCAAAAGAAUGAACAAAUCUGUCUUGGAAGAAGUACAGCCAGAAUGCUUAUUAGAAGUGAGGAUGGUGAGACUUUGUCUUACAUACUUUGGACAUGUUAUCAAGAAGGACCAGGCCGUGGAGAAGGACACCAUGCUUGGCAGAGUUGAGGGUCAGCGAAAAAGAGGAAGACACUCAACGAGGUGGAUUGACAAAAGGACCACAGCAGUGGGCUCAAGCAUAACGAUUGUGAGGAUGAUACAGGACUGGGCACUGCUAUAUUCUCUUGUACAUAGGGUCGCUGUGAGUUGGAACUGUCUCAAUGGCACGUAACAACAAUAUAUUGUUUAUAUUUUAUGGUGUUGGUUUUUGUAAUGUACAUAAAUAUCUUCUGAAAUUCAGUGUAAAAAUAUGUACUGAAGAGUUUUAAAAAUGUAGAUGAACACAAACAGAUAAAUCACAAGAAAAUCAUGGCAAGCAAACGUGUAUAGUAUAACAUCUCAGACACAUUAACCAUUCAUAAAUGUCUUUGUAAAUCCAGUUGUGAUACAUUUUAAAUUUUGUGGAGAUGUAAAAGGUCACGAUAGCUAGGAGGUAAGGGAGUAGCUCUCAGUGGACACAAAUGGAGUCUAGAAAGAUGGAUCAAGAUUGUUGUAUGACAGGCACUGUUCAAAUUCCAUUAGAUGGCUGUCUGUCUGGAGCUCUAGCUGAGGACUUUGACUUCUUUAACUGUAUUUACACCCUCCCAACUAUCCCGGCGAUUCUCAUCUCAGAUUCUCUAAUUCACGUAUCGGCCAGAGCAGUCUGAAGGGAAUAGAUGAUGAACGUCACCACAUUGUCUUCAAAAGCCUUCAGUUGGCAUGUUUCAAGAGUUUUAGAAAUAAGGAAUGAUCAGAGAAGAACAUAAUUUGCCACAGUAAUAACUAGAAAUCAUCCACUUUUAGUUGUUGAACAUUUUAAUUCGUAACUUUUGUGACAUCCUUUCAUUCUCAUCCACUGUCCCCUGAGAAUCUCCAGAAAUUUGUACAGAAGGAUGAGUUAUGGUAGAUUGGUAGUUACAGUUUUUAAAUUCUUCUGGAACAUCCCGAGGACUUAACUUGUGGACAGCUAUGGAAGUCUAAACCUCCUGCUGCUCUAAGGGGCCUGUGGUCUGAGUCCUGCUGUAGAGCCAGUCUCUAGGUCAUCUACUCUGUAUUCAUCACCUGGUCCAACAGCAUCAUGACAGGACCUAUCACUCCAGAUUCCUCCCCAGAAUGCCCCAACUUCACAACUGACAAGUGCCUAAAGAGCAUCUUCUCAACUGAAAAAUAUUUUCAGUGCAUAAAACUGGAACUAUUUGGGCUACACUGGACAGUAUCAAGUAGACAUAAACCAGCCCUAGAGGAAUGUAUAGACAGAAAGAGAAGAAUUCAGCUAGCCUCUUCACCCAGCCACAGAAGUAUGGACAAAAUAAUAAUGACUAUUCACCCUCAGCUUAAGUUGAACUUCAUCUUGCCUUUCAAGCAUUUACAUUUCAUUGGGUAAUCCUUGGAUUUGGGAAGAGAAAAACCAAGAACAUUGGUUUUUCUUGCUAUGAAAUGCUGACUUUCCUUGGAAAAAUUAAUCUAUUAGUUUAAAAAACAGCUCUAAAUUUUAAAGUCAUAUUAAAUGCUUUUCUGGAUGUGUGUAGCCUUACCAGUUUGCUGUUUAAAUGCUUGAAGAUUAUUAUUUCAUUGCUUCAGUGAAAUGUAAACUGCUAAUUAAAUGAUAAAAUGUAUAAAUUAUUCAUUGGACAUUAGGAUAUUCAGAUAAAAUUAGAUAUGUAAUAGUUUUAUUAUUGUUUUUUCAUUGAAAUCUAAUACUCAGGCAUAGAGGCGUAGAUUUAUGAAUAAAAAAUUGUUUUCAGAUAAUUUUAACGGUUGGUGUGAUAGAGCUGGUUUGAUUACCCGGUGGCAGAAAUUUUUUUUUAUAAUUUUUGUUUUGAAGAAAUAUUUUAAUAACUCAUGUUGGAAAUAGAAUUUUUAGGAUCUCUCUGAUACGCAAUAACACACUUUGGGAUAAUGUAUGUAUGUAUAGUUUUUGUAUUCCAUUCUAAUUAUUGACUUGCCUCUGUGUUCAUUAAGCUGUUGGAUGGGAAGGAGCGGGGGCAUUGGACUGUGUGUGUGAGACAAGCACCUCGUAUAGAACCUAAACUACCUCUUCGAGAAAUACACACACAGCAAACUAUUACCAAUACAAGUGUUCUCGUUAACCCUGCAUGUUUUUAUUUUAUGACUUUGUGUAUAAAGGGGUGGAUAUUAGACAGUUGUGUGUAGUAGUCAGAUGUUUUUGUUUAUACCAUGUAGUGCAGAAAUUAUUGUCCUGUUUUGUAAAUAUAUUUUGCCUAAAGUUGUAGAGCAAAGCUUUUUUUUUUAGCUUGUGGAAAUGAAAUAGACCAGUGAAUAGAACAAACCUCUGAAGUGUUGAGUGGGAUAUUUUGACUUUUGUAUAUAUAAAGAUACUUCUUUAAAACAGCUUUCUGAGUGUAUAGACACUGCUGAUAUACAUAAAUGUUUUUUUUUUAAUAUGAGAAACUUUUUAAAAAUCACUAUAAUCUGUAGCUGCCUUCUUGGAGUUUAUUGGUUUGUCAGAAGUGCUAUGGACAAGGAUAUUGUUUUGUGAUCUCAAGUAUAUAAUAUACAACAUUCUUUAUAUUUUUUAUUGGUGUAGAGAUUGCAAGCAUGCAUAUGUUUUAUAUGCCUCCCAUUGUUAAAACAAUAUCGUGGAAAUGUAUAACUUUUGCAGAUGAUUAUAAGAAUUCUAUAUGGGUGGCUCUUUGGGGUUUAUUGUUAAGACAGAUAUGUUUGUAAUAUUUGUAGAUAUUUUUGACAGAUAAUGACAGAGAAUAAAUUUUUUUUUUUUUUUAGUGAUCCAUAGUUCGCCUUUGUAGUCUGCAUUGUAUUGCUGGGAUUUACUGGGAAGUUGAGUUAACAAAAGUCUCUUUGAGAUAUAUUUUUGUUAUUUGUAUUCUUGGUGUCAGAAAGGGGGAUAGAAUGAUGAUUAAAAAGUUUUUUUUUAAACCAUACAUAGUCAUUUAGAAGAAAAACUUUAAGCUAUAAUUAAGCUUUUGUUGUUCGUUUUAUAUAAACAUUUCUCUGCCUCUUUAAGAGACUUGUAAAGAGCAUCUUACAGAGUCUGUAUUUCAGUGUUCAUAUUCAUGGCAAUGUCCAAGAAAACUUUGUAAAUAAUGGGAAAAUAAAAUAUUUGAAAUUUAAACAUCUAGUAUUUCUAGAUGUAUUGAGAGUCUCACAAAGUAUAAUUUUAUAAAUUUCUUGUUGUAAAUUUAUAUUUCUAUUGUCUAUUGCAAUGGACUUGGCUGUAUUGAUCAUCCAUGAACAGGCUCUUAGAGCUAUACAAGAUUUAUCAUCUGUUAAUUUGGUCGUUAGGAGGACAAAAUAACAACGGAAAUUCUCAAAGACAAGGCCUGUUCUCAUGUUGAAGAAAAGUUUCCCAUUGUGUAAAUAGUAAUACUCCCUCCCCCACCACCAAAAAAAAAAAAAAAUGAAAUGCAUGAAGACAAUGUAAAUUCAUUUGGUCUUUCAGGAUGUUAUCUAGUUUCUCAAUUUGAUAUUUUUUUGGUGAUAACAUUUAUGAUAGAAAUGACUUUAUUAAAGAGAUUUUAUACUACCUCUUGCGACUAUACAGUCUUUUGUAUGUGCUCCCUUGGUUGCAUGACAAUAUUCAAAAUAAACUUUAAUAGGCAGGCAUAAGUUUUUAACUUAUAACAUCUAGUCUUUUCUAGAUGUAUAGAGUCUCACUAAGUAUAAUUUUGUAAAUAAUCCAUUGUAAAAUUACAUGGUUUCAUUAUUUUCUACAAAUGUUUUACCAAUGGAAUUGAUAAAGUGGGAUUUUGAGGUAUAAAUAUUUCGAUAUUUGUUUAUUGGAUUGUUAAUGGAAGCAGAAGCGAAGUCUUCUCUGUUGUCACCAUUUGUGUUUGCAUUGAAACAGUUUAGAUUUUAAGCAUUGUCUAGUGUUUGUAUUGUAAACAUUAGAAAAAAAUCCAAACUGGUGCAACUAAACCAUCAUUUUCAACUUGCAUGGAGUUAUUCAUAGGGCAUUCUAUAAAUAUAUAUUUUUAUAAUCAUUAUAGGAAAUGUUUUAUACAUAAAGACGAUUGUAUCUUUCCUCUUUCAACUAUACCGUUUUGUACGUAAUUGGACUGCAUGACAACGUUCAAGACAAUUUUGUAAAUAACAAAUAAUGCCAUUAAAAAAAUCUAGUUAUUCUAGAUGAAUGGAGUCUCACAGGGUAUAAAUUUGUAAAUAUUUCAUCGUAAGAUAUCAUAGUUAAUCAGCUUAUGUAAAUGAUUUGGCAGUAGAAUAGAUAAUUACUAAUUGGCCUACUUCAGGCUGUGUAACUUUGCUGUGUGUCUUUUCAGUGAGUGUUAAUGGAGAAGGGAUAAACAGAUUUUACUGUCUGUCUUCAGACUUUAAGUCUCAUGUGGAGUAAAAGUUUAGGCGGUAGCCGUUGGUCUUUGGGAGCCUUGUGUACUUAUAACUUGUAACAAAGAAACCCCUCGUAUGUAUUUUUAUCUUUUGGAAGAAAGAGGAAGACGUAAGAAUGGAACUGUCAUUUUAAAUGAGAUUUACACACAGUGAAAAGACAUUCAGACGGUAAAAUUAUUGUUAUUUUUCUAUACUAUAGGAACGCACCUAUGAAAUGCAUUCUGUAAUGGAUACCGUAGAUACGUAUGUACACAAGAUUAUUACGGACCUGAUAACUGCUGUUUCAAGAGUAUUACCUUAUUUUUACUUGUUAAGUUAUUGAUUUACAUUUUUUUCUCUUUGAAGAUUGUGGUAUUUUAUUUCUAAGCUUAGACACAUUUCUAGAAGCCUGCUUUUAGAGUCAAAAAAGACUGCCUUUUUUAUAUCCAUUUGUUUUCUAAUCUCUUCUCAUGUGUAUACAUCAAUAUGAGAAUGACUUCUGUGGUUGCUAGUGUUUUGUUUUCCUGAUAGUUUUUUAAAAAUUUACUGUGGGUAUAUGUCGUAUGGAAACCCUGGUGGCGUAGUGGUUAAGUGCUACGGCUGCUAACCAAGAUGUUGGCAGUUCGAAUCCGCCAGGCGCUCCUUGGAAACUAUUUUGGGCAGUUCUGUUCUGUCCUAUAGGGUCGCUAUGAGUCGGAAUCGACUCGAGGGCGGUGGGUUUGGUUUUUGGGUAUAUGUUGUGUGAUGAUCACAAAUGAAUGUUAAAAAAUAUCAAAAAGCAUCUUAUACCUCUGUGCGUAAAUAAGUUAGAACAAUUUAAAGGCACUAGUCAGUGUUGGGCAAAAUAUGUUAAGAAUAUCUGGCAAUGACAAUCAAAAUUGAGCACGCCCAUUACUUUUGAAAUGGUAUGAUUUUUUGCUGGGAUUUUAUCUAUUCCAGUUCUCAGAAAUUUUAAGAAAAAAAUUUAGAUGAAAGUAACAAAUAACCGAACAUCUGAAAUACCUGCCAUUAAUCAAUAAAAGAAAUCUGGUAAUGCUUAUAGUUCAUUCAACACGUGACUAUAAUCCAUAUACCAAAAUGAUAUUCUGAAAUGGAAGGAUAUUUGUUGUAUUUUUGUAUUUAAAAUGCCAUAAAAUAGUAUAGAACAUUAUGUCACCUUGAACAACCAUCACCUAGUCCCCUUUUGCAUGGGUAGGUGUCUAGAUAGUCUAGCUGAAACGUUAAUGGUAAUUGUUCCUGGGGAAUGGGAUUAGCCUAAUAUCAUUAUGAAGUUAAAUAAUGCUUACUCUUCAGUGUUAUGAAAAUAGUGAUUAUUUUAACACCCUCUUUGAAAUAUACAUAUUUGAAUUUAAAAAAUGAAACAUUUCGUCAGUGUAUGUGCUAUAUGACAAAAAUCUUAAAUAAGUGAUUAUGUAUGAAUAGAAAGUUAUCUGUAAUAAAACAACCUAUUUAUGCCUGUCUUUAUUCCUGCUUAUCAUCAUCUUGGGAGUGUUGGGCUGUUGUAUUCAACUUUGUAUUCUCAGUGGCCAUUAUCAUUGGUUUUUGAAUGGUCUCAAGAAGAGAAUGUGAUUAGAGACUAGUGCAGCAGUCUUUCACAGUGAAACAGUAUUGGAUUACCCAUGGAAAGAAGAAAAGAGAAAAUGAGAUUUGAGAGAAUCACGAUGAGCAAAAUAUUAUUUGUAAAGAAGCUGAGGACAGCUGACAUUUUCAACAGCACCCCUCUUACAAAGUCCCGUAAUUCAUAAGUCUUAACUGCAAACCACAGGAGAUAAUAGUUCCAGGAAGAGACACUUCUGCUAUCUUUGUUUUUAACUGCGAGAAUAGCAUCGCCAGUGAAUGACCUGUUGCAGUACUCCUCGUUCAAGAAUUCUUCACUACCAUUUCUGGUCCCAGAAAUACGCUUUGGUAAUGACUGCAUAGGAAACUGAUGCCAUUGCUUCUACCACAAGCUUCACCAAAGUGGAACUACAGCCUUCUUCAUGCCUGCAGUUUCCUCCCUUUCACGUGUUGCAAUGGACACUCCUUACAGAUCAGAAAAGGGAAUAGGAACGCCGAUGUCGAUUGAAAAAAAAAAUCAUCUUUUUGUAGAACCCAGAGACGUAGAAGUUUGCAAAAAUAUCCUGUGCAUAUACUCAAGUUUUUCUCCUAGUUGAUGCUUACAAUUAUUUUGUAAGUUGGAAAGAAAUGAAGUUUUAAUUUCAUUUGCACCAAAUUUAAUAGAUUAUCUGGGAGAGACUAGAUCUCUUUAAAACUGAGCCUUCUUAACCAUCUACCAGAUUGAAGCUGUGCAUUUUUAGCAGGAAUGCAACAGGAAUGAUGUGCCCUUCUCAGUCCGUCAUCAGGAGGCAGACGAUGUUGAAUCAUGUGUUGAGGAGGAGGUGCUACAGGAGCAGAAUGGCCUGUAAUAACGAGCUGUCACAUGGAGCAAAGCCACCAUGGAGAGGCAUCCGACCAGAUCUGGAAGGAACUUAUCAUGAGUGAGAAGUAAACAUAUCUUGUGUGAAGCCAUUGAGUUUUUGAUGUUAUUGUGACUUUGAACUGUAGUAAUAAAGAAGGAUAAACACAUGCAGUAAUUCAAGGAUUGGUAGAUACAUGCAUUAAAGAAUUGAGGUUGGAUUGAUGGUUUAAAGCUAAGUUGUAAGAAUGGGUGGAUGGGCUGUUGAAUAGAUGGGUGGAUGGAUGGAUAGUAUGAAGGAGAAUUAAAUGUUCAUAUAAAGAUGUAUGUGAGUUUAUGAAGUUUAUGAGAAUUUAAUAAUUAAUAUAUGAAUGAAUGCAAUACUGGAUAUUUAGAAAGAAGGAUGGAAAGGAGGAUGCAAAAAUAUAUUGCUUUUUGUAACUCAGAACAUAACAAUGUAUGGAUGAAAAAUUGGCUGGAUGGAAGAAUAGAAGAGUGGAAGGAAAAUAGAAUGUAUGAGUGGAUGACUGGAUGCUAGAAUUAAGAAUAAAUGUUUUGAAAAACAGAUAGAUGCAUAGAUGUUGGAAUUUGUUCCAGAAUGGAAAGUUGGAUGAAUGGAUCAUGUAUACGUAUAUGAGUUUUUAGAUUGAUGGAUGCAAGUAUGACUAGCUAAGAUAACGGAUGAAUGUAGGAAUCAAAGCUAAUAUGCAAGCAUAAAGUGAUACAAUAAUAGAUGCACAUAUGUAACGUUGAAUGAAAAGACAUAUGGGCAUCGAGCAGUUAACCUGUAUUGCUGCCAUAGGCAUAUUUGUUACAAUUUAUAAAAUCAGAAAAGUGUAGCAUUUAGACUCUUCAAGUGUUGUUAUUGUAAAACUAGCAAAAAUAGAAACCAGCCAUAGUAAGUUCACAAAUUAGUUUUCUCUAAUCAUUACACACACACACACACACACACACACACACACACACACUCUUGUUCUGCAUAACGUCUGUUCCGACAAUGUCCAACCACAUAUAUAUCUGUGGUCCUGUAAGAUUAUAAUAGAGUUCAUUAAUCCCAAUCAGAGAUUGGGACGUAGUGGAUGUAACUGGAUGUAGGGAAUACAACAGCUUCCUGCAUGUAACGUGUAUCUCAUGUCUCUUGUAUAUAAAGGCAGUUGUGCUACCAGGAAUAUAAUGGUACAGUACAUAUAUAACCUAUAAUACACCCAUGUCUUGGUAGUCAUAAUAAAGGCUUGUGUUACUGGCUCAUGUAUGUACUGUACUGUACUUUCUAUCAUUGUAUUAAUGUGAACUUCCCCUACUUACAAAUAAAAAGUUUAUUGUGUAACUGUGUAUCCUUUGACUCGUAGGCAGCAACAUCCACACAGCAACAUCCACUCGUGUGUAUUGCAUGUCUCUUGUGUAUUGUAGUGUUAUCUCUCUGUUUAAUUUUCUUUCAAAAAUAUUACCGGAAGUGCCCCAUUGCCUCCAAAUGCAGCAAAACCAUUGCUGGUGAUAGCAGCAGGCUGCACAGGAGAAGCGUCAGUUUGGAAGUGAAAGAAAAGGUUAUUAAACAACACUAAAGUGGAGAGUCAGUGAAUGCUGUUGCUCAUGAUUUAGACAUGUUCACACAAUAUCGAAAUCAUGUGUGUCCCAUUUCACAGGACGUGUCGUGGACAUUAAGCGACGCAUAUGUGUAUAUAACGUGUGUGUGUGUAUAUAUAUAAUACUGCGAAGAAUGGGAAUUCCGGAACACUUAAUUGUGCUCAUGAGGAAGCUUUACAUAGAUCAGGAGGCAGUUGUUCACACAGAACAAGGGGAUACUGAUUGGUUUGAAGUCAGGAAAGGUGUGCGUCAGGGUUCUUUCACCAUACCUAUUUAAUCUGUACGCUGAACAGAUAAUAUGAGAAGCUGGACUAUAUGAAGAGGAAUGGGGCAUCAGGAUUGGAGGAAGACACGUAAACAACCUGCUAGAAAGCAUACAAGAUUGUCUAAUGGUGGAGUGAUGAUCAGUUAAAUACAAAAGAAGAGAUAAAAUGAAACUUUAUGUUAAUUUUGAUCCAGUGUUGAAAUAUAGGUUAUGUAGAUUUUGAUUUACUGUUCCCAUCUACUCUCACUAUAAAAGGUGAUGUUUUCUGGACAGAGACUAUAAUUUCUUUCUGUACAUUCAGUAAAUUUUAAAUUACUUGGUAGACAGUAAAUGUUUUGGAAUAAGAGUGUAAAUGGUGGAUAAGUGGAGGGAGAGAAGGAAGAAGUCAGGCAGGUGUGAAAAAAAGGUAAAGGAGGUACAAAAUGAUGAAAAUCAAAGUUAUUAGGAAGUAGAAUUUGCUGCAAAAAAUAUGGAUUUUAAUUACAGUAGGAGCCUGAAUUUUUGUUCAAGUCCAUGAUUUAAGGUAUUGCUAAUGAUCUCAGUGGGUAUGUGAGGUGGUGUGUAGAAGCUGAAGAUUAUUCCAACAUGAGAGUAAUAGAAGUAGGUUGUUGAUACCCCUCCAUUUGAUGAUUGAGUGAAUAACCUUAAAGUAUUUUCAAAUAUUCUUUUUUUUUUUUUUUUCUUUUUACAAGCAAGGACCAAAAAGACUUUCCCUGCAGGUAAGAGUAUGAAGGCCUGUAUUCUGAUUUCUAAAAUGUGCUUUUGGGUAUUUUGAUGGUGGAUUACAUUAUUUUCUGAGUUAACACUAAAUGUCCUUUGUUUUUAUUGUGAAAGUUUAAUCCAGGAUUUUUUAGUUGUCUCUUGUUAGUACAGAAAAUUAAUGAAAUUAGAAAUUGAAAUACAAAGAAUUUUUUUGAUUUGCACCAUCAGAAGUUGUCCAAGAACCAUCCAGGAAAACAGGGAGAAUGAAUAUGUGGAUCAUGUGAUACCGAGUAUUGGUUUUUAGAAAGAUUUCCAUGAAAUACUAUGAAAUAUACUGACAGCAUUUGUUUUAAUAUUUGUAUCGUCAUUUUUUUUUUAAUUGCCAAGCGGGGAUAUAAAUUGGCACUCAUAAGGUACACAGGAAACCCUGGUUCAAAGAAUAAGUGGGUAGUUAAAUGUCAUGAAAAUAAUUUAGAAUGGGAGAUUAAAUUCACAGUAUAUGCAGAGCAGAAAUAAUGACGAGUUCUUGAUUUUUAUAAAAUAAAUAUACUUGGUUUUUGUAGCUUAGAAGUUAUUUAGGAUGAGGAUCAUGGGUGUUGUUUUCUAUGGCAUACUAAGUAAGUACUUGAUUAUAUCAGUCUGUCAUGAGGCAUGGCUAUGUCAUAAUGUGUUGUUUGUCUUAAUUUGCAGUCUCUCCUUCUGAACUCUCCCAGGUGGUGACCAUGUUGACCAGAGGAUCUUGUAUACCUUCUGCAGUGGUGCCAUUUAUAGCACCACCCAGUUGCUCAUAUUAUACCUCCCUCCUGGGAACUUACUGAAUUUAUGUACAUCAAGGUGGACAAUUUUAUAUAAGUGCCCCCUGAAAUAGAAAUGAUCUACUUUUUGGCACGUAUUUGCCUGGAGUGUUGUUAAGACUUUAAAUGACCUUCUUUGGAACUUGCUGGUUAUCAGGUGGCUUAGGUUGCACUUCUCUUCACUCUGAGUAUAUUUUGUGAUUUUCUCUGAUGUCAUGCUUACUGCAUUGUAUUUUAUUUAUUAAUGUUUCAUUUUAAAAAUAAGAGUGAGAUUUUAGUGUGGUACACAGAAUUGAUCCAACCCACAGAUACCUUGGCCAUGUCCCAGAUGAUAGCCAGGCCUUCUUAGAAGGUGGGUACCUCUCAAGUGUCAGUUUGGAACCAUUUUUAAGAUAGUUUGUUCCUGAUUUAACUCAUGGACCCACAGUUCUCCAAGAGGUCUCAGACAACAUCCACUUAAACAUUAGUGUUACCUGCACUAGACUGUUUGUAGUUGCCCCAUUUAUUAAACGUAGUAGGGCUCUCUCUAGAGAAGAAUCUGCAAGUGACUGUAGUUCACCUCUUCCCCAGUGCCCACACCUGAGAUCUGGAUUCCAUCAAGAGAGAGACAAACCUUUGUAGUAAAAAUUCAGGCCAUGGUGAAACCAUCAUGUAGACCACAUGGUCCCAUCAUUGUCUUGGUAUCUCUAGAAUUCUUUUGGGUGGAGUAAAAAACUAAAGGCACCGCAGAUUUUACUGCUCUUCAUAUUACCCUAAUUUUCAUUUAUUUUCUGUUUCACCUAAGUGUGUUUAAUAUAGAAGACUAUGUUUAUUUGACAUUAUAAUUGUCUAAUUCUGGAAGAUAAACCACACUGUCCAUCAGGGAGUUACCUUGUCCAGCCUAUCUCAAUAGAUUGUUUUAUAUAGUAGCAUCACAUAAUAUUACUUUAAUAGUAUAGUGUUUGCAAUAAAAAAAAAAUUGCCUGGAAAUUCAAGAUCAUAUUAUAAUCCCUUUCCUUUAAGUCAAGUUAUUUUUACCAACAGAAGAUUUAAUGGUUUUAAAAGUCUCAUAAACAUGUACAGCCAGCAAUGUUUCCUUUCUCAUUAUCUUGUUCUCCUUAUUGCCAGCUAGAUGCUAAGGUAGAACUUAAAUUUUUUUUAAUACUCAUUGAUUUUACACACAGAGAAGUUCCGUUUGUACUUCCAAGGUUGUAUUAUUGUAUCCCAGGACAUUUCGUGUGAUGAACUCUUUCUAAGUUCAAAAUGUACAUACGGUAUAAGAAGAUUGAUAUCCCAAUGAUACACCUUUUAGGUUGCAUAAGAUAAAAUAUAACACUUGUUGGUAGUCUAUGCCAGGUGUCAGCAAACUUUUGUCUGUAACAGGGGCCAUGCUGUCAAAUCUCUGCCUUGGUAGUGUGAAGACAGCCAUAGGUAAUGUGUAACCUGUAAAUGGAUGCACUUUUGUUUCAGUAAAACCUUAUUUACAAAAUGAAAAGUGACAGGGUGCAUUUGGACCACAGGCUUUAAUUUGCUGAACCCUGGCCUAAGGCAGCUAGAUAGAGAAACCAGAAGAGAGUGAAAAAAUGUUUUCUCUUCCCAUACCCUUUUUCUGAAUCCUCAGCAUUACAAAGUGUUUAAUUAGAUAACAAAUGGGAGAAAUCUGCUUUUAGGCCUUUGAAUUUUGGGCUCUAAAAGCUAAGUAAAGUGUCUGUUCUUCCUAAUGCUUUUUUAAAAUUUAUUUUAAAGUUUCCACUUAGGCUUAACCUAGUACUUGAACCAGGACCACCAAGUAUGGGUCAUUAAAACAAUAUAAAGCAAAUUGCGAUCACUCAUGCUCCAUUUUCCAUUCCUCCUUCCUAGGGUUGACAAGAGUUAACCACUUGUGCUAUAGUGUACAGUAACUUUUCUAAUUAUAUAACUUUAUGUGGAAUUCAUUUUAUAAAUAUUUAAUCAUUAUGGUAGAUACUGUUUUACAGCCGGUUUUUUUCUUUAGUAUAUUGUGAACUUACUUCCAAAUCAAUAAAUAUAGCUCAUCAACAGACUUUUUGUUGGAUAUAAAGCACAUGUCAUAAUGAGUUUAUCCAUUUUCCUAUUUUGGGAAGUGCAGGUCAGCUUCUUUUCUGUUCUUGCUGUUUCGUAUAUAAUGUUGUGAUGUGUGUUAUCAGUAUAUAUCUGUAUCAGUGCGCUUGGGCUCAUAAUUCUAUAGGGUAGAUUCUGUUUUUGCUGUUUCGUAUAUAAUGUGAUGUGUGUAUCAGUAUACGUCUGUAUCAAUGCGCUUGGGCUCAUAAUUCUAUAGGGUGGAUUUCUGGAUGUGACAUUGUUGGAAUAGUGGUUAUGUAGACUUUUGAUUUCAGUGGAUAUUGUGAAAUUGCCCUUUUGAAAAUGUUUUUUCAGCAUUGGUGUGAAAGCAUUGCUGAUUUUCAUAAAAAAUUUGUGCAUGAUCGAUCUUAUUAGUCCUUUACAAUUUUAGCCAAUCUACCAAAAAAAAAAAAAAAAACCUAGUAGAUGAAAAUUCAAUUUUUUAACUUAAAAAGUCUGAUUUCAUGCCAUGGAGAAAAAAAGACCAAACAGUGAUGGAUGAUUUAUAGUAAAGAUGAAUGGUCCAUUUUUCAUCUAGUCACAAGCAUCAUCACGAUUGUCAGAGGCAGACACUAUUAACCUUUUCCAAAUUUAGCAUUUCUGGGAAGUUCAUAUACUCAUUAAGAGUACCUUAUUUGAGUGUUUCUAUUUUUUUUUUUUUUUUGGCUUUUUAUUUUUUAAGUAAUUUUAGACUUAGAGUUUUAAGAGUCAUGUAGAAAAAACCUACAUAGUCUUCACUCAGGUUUACUGUUUUCUUCUACAUUGUUAUGCCCUCUCUCUCCCUCUCACCAUGUGUGUGCACUCUCUCUCUCCCUUUGUUAACAUUGUUUGUGAACUGUUUGUGAUUAAGUAACAGAGAUAAGAUCCCUUUAACCUAAAAUACUUAAGCGUGCACAUUAUGAGAGCCUGGGUGUCUUCUUAGGUUAACCUUGAUAGAACUUUCAAACUCAAGAAAUUUAUCACCAGUAAAGAGCUAUUAUGUAACACAUUCAGGUUCAGUCAGUUGUCCUAGUAAUGUCCUUCACAACAUUUUUUCCCCGAUACAGAAUCCAGAAAGGGAAUCCUGUAUUGCAUUCAGGUGUCAUGUCUUUUCAGUCUCAUUUGACUAGGAAAGGAUAUUAAGUGAAUUCUAAGGCAAAACUACACAGUUCAUAAAAAUACCACCUCAUAUCCAUUUGACAGUUUGAAAAUUUCUCUGUUAUUUUCCCACCCAGUUUGUCCUAUGGAAUGUAUAGUAAUGUUUUCUUUAUAUUUCCAUAGCAUUUUUAUAUAUUAAAACAAGUUAGUAGGAUAAAAAUCAGUGUGGAGGAUGUCUAGAUAAAAUACUGAUAAAAUAAGCAAAAGUGGAAAUAGCAAGGCAGGUUACAUGGCCAUUUAAAUAGGCAUAAGAAAGUUUGGUGGCCUGUACUAGGUUGGUUGAUACAGAAGUGUUGAGACAUACUAGAAUUUCAGUGUAUUUGAAAGUAUUGCCAGUUCUACAUGAUAAAGCAUUGAAUAUUGUACAGGAGAGGGGGUUUAAAUAGGACUCUUAAUAUCAGAGCCUCAAGAGCCGAGUGAAUGGUAAUGUGUUUUACUAUGAUAAGGAAGACUUAGGGAAGGUUGAGUUUCUCAUAGUGGAUGACAAAUAGAUGUCUUUUUUGGCCAGUGAAAGCUUUAAAUUCAUAUUAAACCCCCUGGGAAAGAUACAGAUUUCUAGGUUGGAAAGAGGAAGCUGGGACUCAUGAGUGUGUUUGGCGAUAGAUAUAUUACUUUGAAUUCAUCAAUAAAUGACUUAUUUAUGACUAUGGGAAAGGAUGAGCACUAGAAAUGGAAUGCAUAAUGCAGGGAGGAAUAGUCUGAAUUCUGAGCCUUAGAGGCUCUAAUGUUUAGGUAUUGAGAAAAUGAGGAGGAUCCUUUAAAGGAGAUGGUUAAGACCAACCAGAGUUAUUGGAUGAAAACCAAGGGAUUGUGGUGCUUGUGAGGGCAGUCGAUUAAUGUCUUUUGAAAAGGAAUAGGGACAGGAGUUGGCUUUUGUGUAGAAAUAAAGAUACUGUUGAUUAUAAGUAAAAGCGCAUUUUUGAGAGAGAAGGCAGGGAUUUUAAUAUCGGCGUGCUCAAAUCAAAGAAUCCCUCUCAGUUGACUGUUUUACCUGUAAUGUUGUUACCCAUGUCUGCCCAGCACAGACACAUGCUGAUACCUUGUGAGUGGUUUGCAGGAAACAAUAAUGAGAACAUAAUAAAAGAAAGGCUCUGGUUGAGGCAAGUUGUACAAAUCAAAUUGUACAAUCCUAGUUAGUCUAGGAAUUGAGGGAGUGAAAUGAGAACAUACAGAAGGUAGAAUUUUGAAGGAAAUAAUUGCAAGGGCAAGGCAGAACAGUGCUGAGCCUACAUUUUAGACACUAGCUCCAGGAGAUAGUAAAUGGAAGUAGCACGAGUUAAGUCAGGGAGCAGAUAUGACUUUGGAAGAUGAUCUUUUCCAGUUAUGUCCUGGAAAGGGUGUUACCCAUUUACCUAGAAAUGUAUUGUACAUUGUCAUUCCUCAACUUGUGUGUUAGAGAUGAGUGUGUGGAAUUUUUAUUGUCCUACCUGUCUAAAUUGUCACCACGUAAUUUAUAAUGUGCUUUAUGUCAUUAAUAUUUAUCAAAUUUUGUUUCAUUCUUCCUUUUCAUGUCUGUUUAACAGACUAGAAAUGAUGAGCUCCUUUUGACAGGGAUGUAUCCUUUCUCGUAUUUACCUUUCCAUUAUCUUACACAGCCUAAUGUGUAGCAGAUGUCUGCUUUAAUAAUCAUGUUGACUAGACUACUUGUUUACACUGUGUGGGUGACUGAGAUUUGAUGAAUGAGCCAACCUCUAUAAACAAGAGUUUAUAGAGGCCUGAUAUGAGGUAGCUCUUUGAGGAUAUUUUUGGGACAUAUUAUGGUAUGACAGGAAACCAUAGCAUUUGUAGAAUACAGUAAAUUGGAAUGUGCACAUAUAGGUUGUAGGGUUGAAGGACUGAGCUUCCGUUAGAAUACGCUGUCUUUUAAUAAUGAAAAUUUGGGAUUCAAUUGUAAACCCUAACAGAGUUUGGGGUGUAGGAUGUUACUCCUCUUUUCUUUCCUGUGGAGUUCAGCCCCUUGUAGGGCCUGUGCCAGUGGUGUCCUCUUUUUCACUGUGUCCUCUAAAAACCAACCCAGUGCCGUCGAGUCGAUUCCAACUCAUAGGGACCCUGUAGGACAGACUAGAACUGCCCCAUAGAGUUUCCAAGGAGCGCAUGGCUGAUUCAAACUGCCAUCCCUUUGGUUAGCAGCCGCAGCACUUAACCACAAAGCCACCAGGGUUUCCAACAAUCUAAGGAGGAAUCCUUAUGGAUGGUGAACUUUUUACUCUGAAAAGAGCCAGCAUAUUUUGUAGUAUUGCUCGUUUUAUGUGUUAUCAGUCCCUCAAAAGGAUUCAUUUUCUACAUGAACAACCCUUCUAUUUAAAAAAAUUUCUUGAAAGAGAAGGUCUUUACUUGGAGAGAGGCUUCAGACAGAUUAAUGAUGAGAUGCUAAAUUGUAGAAUAUAGUAACUGAUUCAUGAUUUUUAAUCAUGAGAGGGAAAAAUAUAGCAGAACCUGUGGACCUGGCUAGCUUCAGAGAGACCAUUCAGUGUUAUCAUAAUACUGUACUUACAUUACUUAGAAAAUUCCAACUUUUAAAAAUUGUUCUGUUAUAUAUAUAUCAUACCAUGCUGAGUAUGGUCAGUAUCCCAAAAGUAUGAUAGAGUUAUACUCAUGUCUGUGGCCCUGUUUACUCGUUUAGUAUUGUAAUUCAAAGAGUCCUGAAGAAAUGUCUACUGAUAAAUGGCAGAUGGGGCUUGGGUAUAUGUGUUUGGAAUAAAAGACUAAGUAAGACAAAAGGAAAAGGAAAAGGAAUUAUAGGUGAGUUAUUUUUGAUUCAAUGGAUUGUUUUGUCUCUGUCCCCCAAAAUAAGUAUAAUGAGCUUCUGCUUAACAGGGCUUUUUUUUUUUUUUUUCUGUUGUCUUGUUUUAUUCUAUGUCAAAAAGGGAGAGUUUCAUUUAAGUUUGUUGGUAAACAGAUGUGUGAAUGAAUGAAUGAGAGAGAUCAUGAAUGAUUAGAAAAUGUAGCAAUAAAAGAGAGAUGGUGAUAUUUAUAUAGCCUUGCACUGUAGUUUGAGUAAUUUGGAAAUAUGCUUUGUUUGGCAGUAUUGAAAAGACGAACAUAAAAUUUAGUGAAUUUUUCUGAGCUAUGGACAUGUAGAUGCUAACUUUUUUAGAAAGUAGUGUUUGUGUGAGUGUUUUUAAUUAGUGAUAGGUAGCAACCAUCAAAAUGUCUGAAUUCGGAAAAUUAGAAAAGGAUUUAUUUGGGGGGCUUUCCUCCUUUCCCUGUUCAACUUUAAUGUGUAGUUUUCAUAUGGCUAUUGUUCCUACCUUGCCAAAUUUUAAAAAUUUGUGCUGGGAAAGCUAAGGGCCACCGUUGGCAUCAGUUUUGGCCUGUCUUCAGAUAUUUUGUGUAUACAAGGAAAUGGGGUUUUCUGGACUGAGGAAUGCUUUCUUUGUUGCCCAUGGAAAUAUGUGGGCUUAAUUGCUGUGUCAGUUGCUACUACCUUUGUUUGAUUCCUAAAGUUUUUGAAUCUUGAUUCUUAGUUAAGAUUUUUAUCUUGGCUAUUUUUUUUUUUAUUCUCAAGUUGGAAGUAAUUGCUUCAAUAAUUUUCUCAUCUCUUGAUUUUUAUUAGCCAUAGGUAAGAUGCCCAACUUAAAUGACUGUAGAAAAUAUUUGUUUUUACCA